AGCGUACACGGUGGAUGCCCUGGCAGUCAGAGGCGAUGAAGGACGUGCUAAUCUGCGAAAAGCGUCGGUAAGGUGAUAUGAACCGUUACAGCCGGCGAUGUCCGAAUGGGGAAACCCAGUGCAAUUCGUUGCACUAUCGUUAACUGAAUACAUAGGUUAACGAGGCGAACCGGGGGAACUGAAACAUCUAAGUACCCCGAGGAAAAGAAAUCAACCGAGAUUCCCCCAGUAGCGGCGAGCGAACGGGGAGCAGCCCAGAGUCUGAAUCAGCUUGUGUGUUAGUGGAACGGUCUGGAAAGUCCGACGGUACAGGGUGAUAGUCCCGUACACCAAAAUGCACAGGCUGUGAACUCGAAGAGUAGGGCGGGACACGUGGUAUCCUGUCUGAAUAUGGGGGGACCAUCCUCCAAGGCUAAAUACUCCUGACUGACCGAUAGUGAACCAGUACCGUGAGGGAAAGGCGAAAAGAACCCCGGCGAGGGGAGUGAAAAAGAACCUGAAACCGUGUACGUACAAGCAGUGGGAGCACCUUCGGGUGUGACUGCGUACCUUUUGUAUAAUGGGUCAGCGACUUAUAUUCUGUAGCAAGGUUAACCGUAUAGGGGAGCCGCAGGGAAACCGAGUCUUAACUGGGCGUUAAGUUGCAGGGUAUAGACCCGAAACCCGGUGAUCUAGCCAUGGGCAGGUUGAAGGUUGGGUAACACUAACUGGAGGACCGAACCGACUAAUGUUGAAAAAUUAGCGGAUGACUUGUGGCUGGGGGUGAAAGGCCAAUCAAACCGGGAGAUAGCUGGUUCUCCCCGAAAGCUAUUUAGGUAGCGCCUCGUGAAUUCAUCUUCGGGGGUAGAGCACUGUUUCGGCUAGGGGGUCAUCCCGACUUACCAACCCGAUGCAAACUACGAAUACCGAAGAAUGUUAUCACGGGAGACACACGGCGGGUGCUAACGUCCGUCGUGAAGAGGGAAACAACCCAGACCGCCAGCUAAGGUCCCAAAGUCACAGUUAAGUGGGAAACGAUGUGGGAAGGCACAGACAGCCAGGAUGUUGGCUUAGAAGCAGCCAUCAUUUAAAGAAAGCGUAAUAGCUCACUGGUCGAGUCGGCCUGCGCGGAAGAUGUAACGGGGCUAAACUGUGCACCGAAGCUGCGGCAGCGACACUAUGUGUUGUUGGGUAGGGGAGCGUUCUGUAAGCCUGCGAAGGUGGCCUGUGAGGGUUGCUGGAGGUAUCAGAAGUGCGAAUGCUGACAUAAGUAACGAUAAUGCGGGUGAAAAGCCCGCACGCCGGAAGACCAAGGGUUCCUGUCCAACGUUAAUCGGGGCAGGGUGAGUCGACCCCUAAGGCGAGGCCGAAAGGCGUAGUCGAUGGGAAACAGGUUAAUAUUCCUGUACUUGGUGUUACUGCGAAGGGGGGACGGAGAAGGCUAUGUUAGCCGGGCGACGGUUGUCCCGGUUUAAGCAUGUAGGCGGAGGUUCCAGGUAAAUCCGGUACCUUUUUAACGCUGAGGUGUGAUGACGAGGCACUACGGUGCUGAAGUAACAAAUGCCCUGCUUCCAGGAAAAGCCUCUAAGCAUCAGGUAACAUUGAAUCGUACCCCAAACCGACACAGGUGGUCAGGUAGAGAAUACCAAGGCGCUUGAGAGAACUCGGGUGAAGGAACUAGGCAAAAUGGUGCCGUAACUUCGGGAGAAGGCACGCUGAUAUGUAGGUGAAGCCCCUGCGGGUGGAGCUGAAAUCAGUCGAAGAUACCAGCUGGCUGCAACUGUUUAUUAAAAACACAGCACUGUGCAAACACGAAAGUGGACGUAUACGGUGUGACGCCUGCCCGGUGCCGGAAGGUUAAUUGAUGGGGUUAUCCGUAAGGAGAAGCUCUUGAUCGAAGCCCCGGUAAACGGCGGCCGUAACUAUAACGGUCCUAAGGUAGCGAAAUUCCUUGUCGGGUAAGUUCCGACCUGCACGAAUGGCGUAAUGAUGGCCAGGCUGUCUCCACCCGAGACUCAGUGAAAUUGAACUCGCUGUGAAGAUGCAGUGUACCCGCGGCAAGACGGAAAGACCCCGUGAACCUUUACUAUAGCUUGACACUGAACAUUGAGCCUUGAUGUGUAGGAUAGGUGGGAGGCUUUGAAGCGUGGACGCCAGUCUGCGUGGAGCCAACCUUGAAAUACCACCCUUUAAUGUUUGAUGUUCUAACGUUGGCCCCUGACCGGGGUUGCGGACAGUGUCUGGUGGGUAGUUUGACUGGGGCGGUCUCCUCCCAAAGAGUAACGGAGGAGCACGAAGGUUAGCUAAUCCUGGUCGGACAUCAGGAGGUUAGUGCAAUGGCAUAAGCUAGCUUGACUGCGAGCGUGACGGCGCGAGCAGGUGCGAAAGCAGGUCAUAGUGAUCCGGUGGUUCUGAAUGGAAGGGCCAUCGCUCAACGGAUAAAAGGUACUCCGGGGAUAACAGGCUGAUACCGCCCAAGAGUUCAUAUCGACGGCGGUGUUUGGCACCUCGAUGUCGGCUCAUCACAUCCUGGGGCUGAAGUAGGUCCCAAGGGUAUGGCUGUUCGCCAUUUAAAGUGGUACGCGAGCUGGGUUUAGAACGUCGUGAGACAGUUCGGUCCCUAUCUGCCGUGGGCGCUGGAGAAUUGAGGGGGGCUGCUCCUAGUACGAGAGGACCGGAGUGGACGCAUCACUGGUGUUCGGGUUGUCAUGCCAAUGGCAUUGCCCGGUAGCUAAAUGCGGAAGAGAUAAGUGCUGAAAGCAUCUAAGCACGAAACUUGCCCCGAGAUGAGUUCU
Molecule: ribosomal RNA, 2774 nt
Filed under: Enterobacter cloacae
Lineage: Bacteria; Pseudomonadati; Pseudomonadota; Gammaproteobacteria; Enterobacterales; Enterobacteriaceae
Description: bacterial LSU rRNA
Rfam family: Bacterial large subunit ribosomal RNA
Source: RNAcentral